GAUGCAAGUCGAGCGAGGACUUCGGUCCUAGCGGCGGACGGGUGAGUAACGCGUGGGAACGUGCCCUUUGCUUCGGAAUAGCCCUGGGAAACUGGGAGUAAUACCGGAUGAGCCCUUUGGGGGAAAGAUUUAUCGGCGAAGGAUCGGCCCGCGUUGGAUUAGGUAGUUGGUGGGGUAAUGGCCUACCAAGCCGACGAUCCAUAGCUGGUUUGAGAGGAUGAUCAGCCACACUGGGACUGAGACACGGCCCAGACUCCUACGGGAGGCAGCAGUGGGGAAUCUUAGACAAUGGGGGAAACCCUGAUCUAGCCAUGCCGCGUGAGCGAUGAAGGCCUUAGGGUUGUAAAGCUCUUUCAGCUGGGAAGAUAAUGACGGUACCAGCAGAAGAAGCCCCGGCUAACUCCGUGCCAGCAGCC
This 416-nucleotide ribosomal RNA is filed under the name uncultured bacterium. RNAcentral describes it as "bacterial SSU rRNA". It matches the Rfam family "Bacterial small subunit ribosomal RNA", at positions 54 to 516 of the family's 1533-position model. The record is from RNAcentral.